RNAcentral lists this ribosomal RNA (468 nucleotides) under uncultured bacterium. RNAcentral's name for it is "partial 16S ribosomal RNA". It matches the Rfam family "Bacterial small subunit ribosomal RNA", at positions 28 to 507 of the family's 1533-position model. The record is from RNAcentral.
GACGAACGCUGGCGGCGUGCUUAACACAUGCCAGUCGAACGGAAAGGCCCUGCUUUUGUGGGGUGCUCGAGUGGCGAACGGGUGAGUAACACGUGAGUAACCUGCCCUUGACUUUGGGAUAACUUCAGGAAACUGGGGCUAAUACCGGAUAGGAGCUCCUGCUGCAUGGUGGGGGUUGGAAAGUUUCGGCGGUUGGGGAUGGACUCGCGGCUUAUCAGCUUGUUGGUGGGGUAGUGGCUUACCAAGGCUUUGACGGGUAGCCGGCCUGAGAGGGUGACCGGCCACAUUGGGACUGGGAUACGGCCCAGACUCCUACGGGAGGCAGCAGUGGGGAAUAUUGCACAAUGGGCGGAAGCCUGAUGCAGCAACGCCGCGUGCGGGAUGACGGCCUUCGGGUUGUAAACCGCUUUCGCCUGUGACGAAGCGCGAGUGACGGUAAUGGGUAAAGAAGCACCGGCUAACUACGUG